CGCGUAGGCGGAUCGUUAAGUCAGAGGUGAAAUCCCGGAGCUCAACUUCGGAACUGCCUUUGAUACUGGCGAUCUUGAGUAUGAGAGAGGUAUGUGGAACUCCGAGUGUAGAGGUGAAAUUCGUAGAUAUUCGGAAGAACACCAGUGGCGAAGGCGACAUACUGGCUCAUUACUGACGCUGAGGCGCGAAAGCGUGGGAGCAAACA
This 206-nucleotide ribosomal RNA is filed under the name uncultured bacterium. RNAcentral describes it as "partial 16S ribosomal RNA". It matches the Rfam family "Bacterial small subunit ribosomal RNA", at positions 568 to 774 of the family's 1533-position model. The record is from RNAcentral.